This 497-nucleotide ribosomal RNA is filed under the name uncultured bacterium. Its description in RNAcentral is "partial 16S ribosomal RNA". It matches the Rfam family "Bacterial small subunit ribosomal RNA", at positions 28 to 507 of the family's 1533-position model. The record is from RNAcentral.
GAUGAACGCUGGCGGCGUGCCUAAUACAUGCAAGUCGAGCGAACAGACGAGGAGCUUGCUCCUCUGACGUUAGCGGCGGACGGGUGAGUAACACGUGGAUAACCUACCUAUAAGACUGGGAUAACUUCGGGAAACCGGAGCUAAUACCGGAUAAUAUAUUGAACCGCAUGGUUCAAUAGUGAAAGACGGUUUUGCUGUCACUUAUAGAUGCAUCCGGGCCGCAUUAGCUAGUUGGUAAGGUAACGGCUUACCAAGGCAACGAUGCGUAGCCGACCUGAGAGGGUGAUCGGCCGCACGGGAACGGAGACACGGUCCAGACUCCUACGGGAGGCAGCAGUAGGGAAUGUUCCGCAAAGGGCGAAAGCCUGACGGAGCAACGCCGCGUGAGUGAUGAAGGUCUUCGGAUCGUGAAGCUCUGUUAUUAGGGAAGAACAACUGUGUAAGUAACUGUGCACGUCUUGACGGUACCUGAUCAGAAAGCAACGGCUAACUACGUG